Molecule: ribosomal RNA, 339 nt
Filed under: Onthophagus sp. SM-2012
Lineage: Eukaryota; Metazoa; Arthropoda; Insecta; Coleoptera; Scarabaeidae
Description: partial 16S ribosomal RNA
Source: RNAcentral
AAAGUCUGACCUGCCCUAUGAUAUUAUAUUAAAUGGCCGCGAUAUUUUGAUCGUGCAAAGGUAGCAUAAUAAUUAGUUUUUUAAUUGAGAACUGGAAUGAAAGGUCGAACGAGAAAAAGACUGUCUCAAUUUAAAUUUUAUUAGAAUUUUAUUUUUAAGUAAAAAAGCUUAAAUAAAUUUAAAAGACGAGAAGACCCUAUAGAGUUUUAUAUUUAUGAUAAUUUUUGGAUUUUUUAGUAUUAUUAAUUUGAAUUUUUUUUUAAAUAUUUGGUUGGGGCGAUUAGAAAAUUGAAUAAACUUUUCUUUAUUAUUAACAUUAAUAUAUGAAUUUAUGAUCCA